UAGUUCGUGGAGUGAUCUGUCUGCUUAAUUGCGUUUCACAUUAAGAACGAAAGAGUCCCGCCUGUAUCGAUGGUACGCCAUAGGUACGGCUUUUAUGUGGAUUUCUAUAAGUUCUGAAGGCAACGAACGUGACCGCAACCUCUAGUUGCACGCUCGUAACGUCUCUUCCUUCACUUUUCAAUUUAUUGAAUUGUGAUAGAGCGUUCACAACGCGUUUUGCUAACUAGAGGGACCGCUAGUAACUUUCAAACAGAGGAAGGUUGCGGCAAUAACAGG
RNAcentral lists this ribosomal RNA (276 nucleotides) under Foraminifera sp. Its description in RNAcentral is "partial small subunit ribosomal RNA". Lineage: Eukaryota; Foraminifera. The record is from RNAcentral.